AUGAGUUAAUCUUGUGAGAGCCGAUGCUAAUUCUUAUAUGAAGCUCCGAUUUGGAUUCACCAAUUCACAUAUAAUUUAAUGAAAUUCAUAUUGAGAAAGAAAAAAACAUAGCCUUUAAAAAGGAAAGUUUAAAUUUAAUUGAAUUCAUUUUCUUCAUUCUAAGUCAUAAAAGAACUAUUACUAUCAUCGAAUGAAUAAUGUAAUUUAAAAAAUAUAUAAUGAAGGCAUGGAAGAGGAACGACGACUGCCAGAACGAUCUGCAGACUGGCUUGACAUGGUGCCAUAGAUAGCUAACCACUUCCCAGCAAAGGUCAGUUCAUCACUAGAAAAAAGUGGAGAACCAUAGAGGAAACGCAUUGUUACCGCCAUUUGAAAAGGUGUGGUCCUGUUUUAUUACAUAGAGAGUUUGACUUAAACAAUAAUUUAUUUCAAAUAGUUUCCAAAAAAAUAUA
This is a long non-coding RNA of Gordionus sp. m RMFG-2023, 452 nucleotides long. RefSeq lists it as uncharacterized. The transcript has 3 exons. The record is from RefSeq and is a predicted model, not a curated record. Lineage: Eukaryota; Metazoa; Nematomorpha; Gordioida; Chordodea; Parachordodidae.